CCUGCUAAAGUAAGUGACUGUGUGACGAGUUUCUCAUUAGUAAUCAUGUUCUUGCAAGUUUAUCUCUAGUCUAUGCCUUGAUAGAUUUGGUCCCUUGAUUUAAUUCCAUCUUCUUUAGAUCCCUUGAGCAAAAUUAUAAAUAACGAUACCUGGAAUACUUAUCCUGGUGAAAUGCUACAAUGAGGUGUUUUAUCUGUGCGCUUGCGGAUAGAAUAGAUUAUUUUCUAGAGAGCCUUUACAUUUAUAAAUACCUUUGUACACUCUGGCGCCAUGCUAGGGAUGACAACCUAGUAUCUAAGUGGUGUUAGCUAGUGUCAACAAGAGACAUAAUGCAAUUAGAACAAAGAAUUAGAGAAAGAUAUGAAUAAUACCAAUCUUUAUUACCGAAGAUCCGAAUCCAGAGCGUAGUGCUCUACUUCUCUAAUUGCUAUCUAAUCAACCUCUAAACUUGAAGGAUUAGGGAGUAGCUAAUUCUAAUUCUCUGUGGGAGAGAAGCUCUAAACCUUAACUUUGAUGGCUACCUCUGAAUAAUGAUUUCUUCUCUUCUCCUCCAGGGGCCAGGGGGUCUGGUUUUAUAGUCCCCUCAAGUGAACGUGAGCCAUUGGAUCAAACCGACAUAGAUUGUAUGGUUUAGAUUGAUCCUUUAGGUCGGUGGAGCGUAGUUCCAAAGCAGAGUCCUGAUUGGACUCCUGGCCUGGGCGGGCGCCCAAGGGGGGUGGGCGGCCGCCCUGCCCCCGAGUCCGAAUCCCUUCUCUUUCGUUCCCGUGGCUUCUGGACUCUUCUAGAUUGAAGAAAAUUGCGCGGCACGUAAUUAUCUCGUUGUAAACAUGACAUGUGGGCCUUCUCUCCAUAUUCUCUGAUAACCCCCUGCAGAAAUAGAUAAACACCAAAGCUCGUGGAAUUCUGUCAGAUAAAACCCUAAUUCUAGAUGUUUGUUUCAUAUUGAUCCUUUUUCAUGUUUAUUUGAUUAUUAAUUUUAGUACUUAAGGACCGUCAACAAACUCCCCCAAGCUUACCCUUUGCUCGUCCCUGAGCAAACAGCUAAACUCAGACGAAUCAGAAGUUGCUUCGAUGUUUUCUUUCCUGACAGGCACACAUGCUUUUACAUAAAAAUUCUUCCAGAUUAGAGUAAAGUGUUAUGGAGUUUAGUACCUGCACUUAAGUCUUAAGUAAUCGAAAGACAAAAUAGUUAAGUCAAGCACUAUUCCUUCUGUCUAUACUUCACCUUUGUUCUAGAGUUUUUCAUAAGUUUUUAAAAUAAAACUCAGAGUUCCCAGCAAUGAUUCUCUCAAGUCUCUCUAUAUGUGGUAUUUGUGGAUCCUUACCAUGAUAUCAAUUACCUAUAGCUAAUGGAAUAUUUAAGUGGAGCUCAUAGGAGUGAAAAACAGCUCAUACAUAUGUUGUCUAAUCGAGCCAUGGAUCCAAAGGAACUCAGCAUAUAAUUAAAUCAAGAUGUGCAUGUGUGAUGGAGUAAAUAAUAAUGAUGAUGAAAAUGCAUAAGUGAUAAUAAAACUUAGUUCUCAUUGCUCCUUAUAUUGCUAUCUCUCCUCCUCUUUGAUCUUUGCUUUGGGAGAACAUGGGCUAUCUUUUUCUUUUCUUUUCUCUCUUUUUUUUUCAGGUGGGUAAUAGAUACCCCUAAUUCUACUGUCGGACACUUGUCCAUUUUUUCCGCUCAAGUGGGCAUCUUUGUACCCCUAAUUCUACUAAGGACACUUGUCCAUUUUUACCUCUCAUCUCACUCUUUUUCUUUCUUUUUCGAGGUUCCGGGCACUUGCCCCUUUUUAUUUCCUCGCAUAUUUUUGCAUAACCCAUGCCUCUUCUGCAUUGAAUCUUUUUAGAGAGAUAAUAACAAUAUUCGGGACAGUGAGUGAUAAAAUUUUUAGCAAUUUUAAUGAACGGUGAUGGAUGGUGCAGUAGAUGUGUGCAAGUGAAUAUCUUAAUUUAACCACAUGAAAAGCUCCUAAGGGUCAACACAGCUCGAUCAAACUCAAUGUGAAUAUAGUAAAAGAUGUUAUAGCAAGUAUGGCUGUGGUAGGUAGUUUUGUUAUGCUAGGAACUCAUCAUGUGAUUUGUAAGUUUUCAAAAUAAAUCUCCAGAACUUAGUGUAGUAGGAACAAGAUAAACAGUAGCUCAACUUUAUAUCAUGCCUUUCUCUUACCUAGACUUUAGUUUUAUGCUUCCCAAAGAUAGUAAUUUCAGUUUUAGUAAUUCCUGGAAGAACUCUAAUAUAAAAGCUAGGUACUUGUAAGUAAGCAAACAGAGCAACUGUUCAUCAUUUCCAUCAUGCAUCUUUUUGGUCUCUUUUUUUUCUAGAGAUUAAACUUAGCAGAAAAAUAAAGCACACUUAUCUACACACUCUUUUUAUUUUGUUUUCAUGUUUAUAGAUGAAAGCCCAAGUUUGGUUUUGGUAAUUAAUGACACCAAGUUGCUAAUGCCUUGUGUUUAAGUGAUUUGAGUUAGGCAUAGCAACACAUGUGAUGAAGGUGCAUGGUGGCAUGGAAAGGUGGCCACAUGAUUACAAAGAAAUGAAGCAUGAUGUGGAGAUCAUGAUGAUAGACGAGGAGCAAAGUUAUCAAGGCAAAGGUAUAAACAUAGGGUUUUACUUUUGCCGGUCUAAGAUGAGUAGAGAAGUGAUUGACCGGGUUUAGGAUAGAUAGCCGACUAUCAAGAGGGGAAAUCACGGUCAUCUCUCGAAUCAAGUGCUACUAGGUCCAUGUCUUGAGCAUAUGCAUUAGGAUCUAGUAAAGUGCUAACUUAACUCCUUUGGUGAAAAUGUUUGUGAAAAGCUAACACACAUGCACUUUGGUGGUGGACACUUGUUGGUGUUAGCACUUUUUCAAAGGAGGUGGAGUUCCUAGGGUUGAGAGGGGUGUGGGUUCCUCUCUCCCUCCCGCCGAGCUUGCUCGGCGGGAUUCGGCGCUUUUGAGAAAAAUAAGUGUAUAUUUUCUAUUGCGCCGGUGGGAAAUUUGG
This 2970-nucleotide long non-coding RNA is filed under the name Sorghum bicolor (sorghum). Its description in RNAcentral is "long non-coding RNA (SBIC_LNC001350)". Lineage: Eukaryota; Viridiplantae; Streptophyta; Magnoliopsida; Poales; Poaceae. The record is from RNAcentral.